This 1193-nucleotide long non-coding RNA is filed under the name Salmo salar (Atlantic salmon). Its description in RNAcentral is "lncRNA (ENSSSAG00000109323.1)". The record is from RNAcentral. Lineage: Eukaryota; Metazoa; Chordata; Actinopteri; Salmoniformes; Salmonidae.
AAACUCCCUCGGCCAGAAUAUACUAUCAUCAAUAGGCGCCAAAGGAAGUUAGCGUCUAUGAAUGGUUGCCUGGGAGGAGAAUGCAGAACCCUGCAUUACCUCAACACCAGUUAAGGAAGGGGAAGGGAAAGGUAAUUGGAACGGAACAGAGGGAGAGAGGACAUACAAUCUCAAUUCAUCUUUCUUCGAUUCCUUGCAUCAUAUCGCCUUGCCUCCUUUUCAACUGUAUCAGAGUAUGUUACGCAGGGAUGGGAGAAGGGGGAUAAUUCGGAUAACACCCCUCCUGGAUUCUGCAGCCCAUUUUGCAUGACUGUGGAAGGGUUCUUUGAUUUCCAAAUCUCUGUCAUUCUCUCUAUCAUAAUUCCAAUGGAUAUGUUGUGGAUGAUAUGAGUGGGUGUAAUGGAUUAAAACCAGUGUGAGGAUGUGGACUAUUUACUACAAGAUGAAGAUUCAAUCACAGUAGGGGUCAUUAACCCAGUCUUGAUUGUGGAAAUUCUGAGUGUCACGUCUUUUAUUGGACUUAACACUGCUCUGCAGAGAUGAUCAACAAAACAUCCACCCAGAGAACUAGGGGUGAAAUCAUUACGCCGAUUCUCUUGCAAAAUGUUUUGCAACAGAAAUGGUUUACUCCAAAUGGAAAACACAAACUAGAGUUUAUAUUGGACAAAUUCAGGUAGGUUCCUCCCCAUUUUGUUCCGUUUGCUUCCAUUUGGUUCUCAAAUGGUAAACAGUUUCCGUAAUGAAUACACACCAGGAGAAUGUCCUUGCUGUUUGCGGGAGCCCCAUCAGUCAGAGCAGGAAACCCCGGCCAAGCCCAGGCCACAGUAUUACACUGACAUGUCCUGUCCAGUGUGUCUACAGAACAGUGGUGUGUAUUCAUGGACGCCAAGGGAAGCCAGGCUUCCCCAAAAAAUGUACCCAUUAAAAAAUAUAUAUUUAUUCUCUCUGUGUUGCAUAAUAUUUGUCGUUUGCCAGUUCGUCUUGUCUCAUCAAGGCUACCAGCAUGUUUUUCCAUACUCCUGUUCUCUUUAGUCCCUGUUUUCUAGUUCUUCCGGUUUUGACCAUUCUGCCUGCCCAGAGCCUGCCUGCCGUUCUGUACUUUACGGACUCUGUCCUGGAUUACCGACCUCUGCCUGCCCUUGACCUGUCGUUUGCCUGCCUCCUGUUUUGUUAAUAAACUUCUGUGAUUCGAA